RNAcentral lists this ribosomal RNA (440 nucleotides) under uncultured bacterium. RNAcentral describes it as "partial 16S ribosomal RNA". It matches the Rfam family "Bacterial small subunit ribosomal RNA", at positions 338 to 795 of the family's 1533-position model. The record is from RNAcentral.
CCUACGGGAGGCAGCAGUGGGGGAUAUUGCACAAUGAGGGAAACCCUGAUGCAGCGACGCCGCGUGAGUGAAGAAGUAAUUCGGUAUGUAAAGCUCUAUCAGCAGGGAAGAAAAUGACGGUACCUGAGUAAGAAGCCCCGGCUAACUACGUGCCAGCAGCCGCGGUAAUACGUAGGGGGCAAGCGUUAUCCGGAUUUACUGGGUGUAAAGGGAGCGUAGACGGUGAUGCAAGUCUGGAGUGAAAGCCAGGGGCUCAACCCCCGGACUGCUCUGGAAACUGUGCGACUGGAGUGCAGGAGGGGUAGGUGGAAUUCCUGGUGUAGCGGUGAAAUGCGUAGAUAUUAGGAGGAACACCAGUGGCGAAGGCGGCCUACUGGACUGUAACUGACGUUGAGGCUCGAAAGCGUGGGGAGCAAACAGGAUUAGAUACCCGUGUAGUC